This is a long non-coding RNA of Helicoverpa armigera (cotton bollworm), 342 nucleotides long. RefSeq lists it as uncharacterized. Lineage: Eukaryota; Metazoa; Arthropoda; Insecta; Lepidoptera; Noctuidae. The record is from RefSeq and is a predicted model, not a curated record. The transcript is spliced from 2 exons.
CCAGUGCAAUAUUUACUGAUGAAACCAUCACACUAGGAUAAAUUUGAAGACUAUAAUGUUGUCUGAAAGCGAAGCCAGAGAGCUAAUAUUAGGCUCUCAGGUAUUAGAACAGACAAUAUCUUAUGAGGUCAAUUGGGAACAAAAAAAUUUAAUACAAAAGAAUUCUUACCCUUUGAAAUCUUGGUUGGGAUGGAGAGAGCCUGGAAGAAGGAGGUCUUCUCAGGACCCAGACCGGUGUUGUGGGCGGGGAUGACGACGGACAGAGGGGCGAUGGCACCGGGACGGGCUGGGGCACGCACUUUGUUCUCCAGCAGCUUGUCACGGACAUCGACGAGGUCUCCG